AACGCCACGAAGAACGCCAUCAGCGUCAUUUGGGGGGCCGCGUUGGACGCCUGGAGAUCCGCCGCGAUCGCCGGCAGCGCGGGCAGAUACAUGUCAAUGGCAAAGGGCCCGAUCGCGGACAGCAGGCCGAGCACGAUCGCGUUCCUGGCAAAGCUUGAUGAUGUAGAAGACAUGGCGUGACGUAUCCUGAGUAUUGUUGUCGUUUGUGUGAGCGGACGCGA
RNAcentral lists this unclassified non-coding RNA (221 nucleotides) under Hevea brasiliensis (rubber tree). Lineage: Eukaryota; Viridiplantae; Streptophyta; Magnoliopsida; Malpighiales; Euphorbiaceae. The record is from RNAcentral.